CGGGGCGUGGACCGACGC
RNAcentral lists this small nuclear RNA (18 nucleotides) under Arabidopsis thaliana (thale cress). Its description in RNAcentral is "snRNA_07402". The record is from RNAcentral. Lineage: Eukaryota; Viridiplantae; Streptophyta; Magnoliopsida; Brassicales; Brassicaceae.